RNAcentral lists this long non-coding RNA (5639 nucleotides) under Salmo salar (Atlantic salmon). Its description in RNAcentral is "lncRNA (ENSSSAG00000089930.1)". Lineage: Eukaryota; Metazoa; Chordata; Actinopteri; Salmoniformes; Salmonidae. The record is from RNAcentral.
CAAGUCCUGAUCCUGUAUACUGAGCGCUGGCCUGGCUCCCUGAACCUCAGAUCAUUCUCUGAUAGGAAGGAGGGGCCCUAUGUAAGCCCCCCUGAGAAGGGAACAGUUCCACAGUUUGUCACUCAUCUUUUCACUCGACUGAGCGAAGAAAAACAGUUCAGUGGCAUUCGAUUGUGAAUCUUGUUCAAAUUGUACCUCUUCCCAGCAAUUGUAAAACAUACUGUGGUUGUCAUGCCAGAGGAGGUGUGGCUGAUUGAGGUAACAGGGUUGGUGGAGAGGUGAAGGUAUCAUGUAGCAGCUAUAAAACAGCCAAGGGAACUCAACGAGGACAUUUCUGCUGAGAUACUUUGUAAGUUUUGAGGAGCUUAUUUGCGGCAUGUUCUGCUUUGUUGGUGUGUGUAGGCUUUUGUGUUGAGAGGUUGUCAGGACUGUUUAUAUGUUGACCUAGUGCGUGUUUAUAUCCUUGCCUAAUGCUGAAUUCAUACUUCACUAACUUUCGGAUUAAUGUUGUAAACAUUCUGUACUUUUGCAUUUCUAACUAAUAAAAGACAGAAGUUUAUACAGCUGGCUCAAGAGACAGAGUUUGGCUUUAUCUCAUUGGUUGUUGAUUUAUUAGAACAUGGUCAGAGUUUCAGCCAAACAAAUAACAGCAGGAGAAAACAGCUGAAGACAUCUGGAUCUGGUUGACUGGUACCAAGAAGGAAGUGUUUGUAAUCAAGGGGUCAGCGUGGGGGUCUAGUAUUGGGGUCUAGAAUGGGAACAUACUGGUAUUGUAGAUAGGGUGGUCUCAAUACAAACAUCACGUUGAUGAUGUGGAGGAGGUAUUAAAAAGAGAAAGCUUCACUUGCUUUGCAUUCUGUCCUGUUCUUGCAGCGGACCAUACAGCAGCAGUGACACCAUGAGGUUCCAGGCUCUGUUCUUUCUCCUGCUCCUGGCAUGCAUGUACCUCACUCUGGCUCAAGGUAGGCACCAUUAAACAAUCUAAGGAACAGUAUUCAUAUUCUGUAGAUUCAUUAUUAUGAAGUUUAUGUUCACUGAAAUUGGUGUAACAGUGUAAAGCAAGCCUUUCAUGUGUUUUGGUUCAUUCUCAGUACUUCUUGUAAUUUACUUCUUGUUGAAAAUAAAUCUACUGUACAUAGUAGCCUACACUCCACAUUUGUACACUUAAUGCAUUGUUGUGCCUGGAGACCUCAUUGUACCUCUGGAAUGGAGAAAAGUUGUUCUAUGUAUUUAAAGUUUUUAAUACAAGCUUCCAAUGGUCCAUACUUUGCCCAGAAGAGGAAUAUUUGGCCACUCAAAAUAAUGUAGAUAAUUAUUUAUGGGAGAAUUUUAGACUGAUGUGUUGGGAUAUCUGUCUCCCCCUCCUUUCAAAACAUUGUCUCAAAUCGCCUGGCACCAGAUUUCGCAACACUUUGACUUUGACGGUAGUUUACAUAGCUCAUAUGCAACUUCAAGCAGCUUAAAUAUGAAGUCCCUUUGAUGUCUCUCUUGCAUACAUCUGCAAUACCUUAACUCAUCAUUUUUUUUCAAAUUACAGAAACUAAUCAUUACACUAUUUUGCUAUUACAAUUGCACAAUUUAAACCAUUUGCUACUGAAAUAUCCCUACAUGACAGUAUGUCAUGGGUCAGCACAAUAAGAGUAUAGAGAAGACUGUAACCAUUUAACUUCCUCAUGCUUGUUGUUAGGGUCCUAUGAGAACUGCUGUCUGAGGCAUGUUGCUGGCCUGAAGAAGAGUACCAAGAGGAAUGUUGUACGCUACAGGAUACAGGAAACAGAUGGAGGCUGCAACAUCAAGGCCAUUGUGUUCAUACUGAAGAAAGGGAAGACUGUUUGUGCCAAUCCCAGCCACAAAUGGGUACAGCAUCUGAGGACUGUUGUCGAUAAGAUUCCAGGGAAUGAGGGGAUGUAGUUGAUCAGUUGCUUCGUUGGAGGAUCUUUCAACCAGUGUACCAAUUUCCAAAAAUAGGACAGUCAUAUCAUCCUGUAACUAGAAUGUGAACUUCAUUAUAUUACUCAUUAUAUUACAGUUUGGCUUAAUGAGUUUAUAUUACAUGCUUUUGGGAGGAUACCUGAGAUUCAGAUGGCUGUUAGCAUGAGGUGACUAUCCGUGCCUGCUUGUAAUGUGCCACGGCAGCUUAGCAUUAUUGUGUGAGGGGGCGGAGGGGAUGGGGCGGGGGGGGGGUUAUUCACUAUCCUCAUGGGUACCGGAAAUCCCCCAAAAGUCCUCACAAGGGUAGUCAAUUAGGGAACAUUUUCCCUCAUGGGGACAUUUCCCACAUCCCCACGAGGACAAAUGCUAUUUUAAACUUAGGGGUUAGGUUUAGGUUCAGGGUUAGGUUUAGGGUUAGGGUUCAGGUUAGGGGUUAGGGAAAAUAGAUUUUAAAUGGAAAUCAAUUUUAGGUGGGGGGGUGGGGCAGAAUGCAUUGAAAAGCUACAAUUACUAUUUUGUUAAACCUUGAGACACUACAUGACAAAAAGUAUGUGGACACCUGCUCUAGUCGAACAUCUCAUUCCAAAAUCAUGGCAUUAAUAUGGAGUUGGUCCCCCCCUUUGCUGCUAUAACAGCCUCCACUCUCCUGGGAAGGCUUUCCACUUUAUGUUGGAACCUUGCUGCAGGGACUUGCUUCCAUUCAGCCACAAGAACAAAUGUGAGGUCGACAUUGAUGAUGGGCGAUUAGGCCUGGCUCACAGUCGAUGUUCCAAUUCAUCCCAAAGGUGUUCAAUGGGGUUGAGGUCAGGGCUCUGUGUAUGCCAGUCAAGUUCUUCCACACCGAUCUCGACAAACCAUUUCUGUAUGGACCUCACUUUGUGCAAGGGGGCAUUGGCAUGCUAAAACAGGAAAGGGCCUUCCCCAAACUGUUGUCACAAUGUUGGAAGCACAUAAUCAUCUAGAAUGUCAUUGUUUGCUGUAGCUUCAAGAUUUCCCUUCACUGGAACUAAGGGGCCUAGCCCGAUCCAUGAAUAACAGCCCCAGACCAUUAUUCCUCCUCCACCAAACUUUACAGUUGGCACUAUGCAUUGGGACAGGUAGAGUUUUCCUGGCAUCCGCCAAACCAAGAUUCAUCCGUCGGACUGCCAGAUGAUGAAGCGUGAUUCAUCACUCCAGAGAACGCAUUUCCACUGCUCCAGUCCAAUGGCGGUGAGCUUUACACCACUCCAGCUGCUUAACAUUGCGCGUGGUGAUCUUAGGCUUGUGUGCCAGAGGAAAUUUGGAACUCGGUAGUGAGUGUUGUAACCGAGAACAGACAAUUUUUACGCGCUGAGCGCUUCAGCACUCGGCGGUCGCGUUCUGUGAGCUUGUGUGGCCUACCCCUUUUACGGCUGAGCCGUUGUUGCUCCUAGACGUUUCCACUUCACAAUAACAGCACCUAAAGUUGCCUGGGUUAGCUCUAGUAGGGCAGAAAUUUCACAAACUGACUUGUUGGAAAGGUAGCAUUCUAUGACGGUGCCACGUUGAAAGUCACUGAGUUCUUCAGUAAGGCCAUUCUACUGCCAAUGUUUGUCUAUGGAGAUUGCAUGGCUGUGUGCUCGAUUUUAUACACCUGUCAGCAACAGGUGUGGCUGAAAUAGCAGAAUCCACUCAUUUGAAAGGGUGUCCACAUACUUUUGAAAAUAUAGUAUAUUUUUCUAUCAGUACUAUGUGUUAAAAGCAAUAUUUGUAUAACUUCACAUUUGUAAUAAAGCAAAAAAUUAUAACAAGAUGUUUAUUAGCCUCAUACAUAUUUAUGUGUUUAUCAAUGUAGGAUUUGAUCACCUGUCCAUAUCAAUAAUCUCCCCUUCAUACUUUUCAUUUGUAUGUUUCUAAGGACAGCUCACUGCACACUUCCUGUACUUGAACUCUUUAUACACAUUUCAUUGGAAAAAGAAAACAGACAAUUGCUUCACGCCACAAAGCUUUAGCCCGUCUUAUUGCCUUCAGCAUGAACCUACAUGAGUUCUUUGAAGCUUAGUAGUUGUAAUGCCACAUACUUACCUGAAAUGUGAUGUGAUGGACAGAGAAUCAAUGACAGUUUAUACAUGCUCAUUCUUGCUCCAGUUUCAAUGUUACAGUGUGUGUGAUGCCGCAGGAGAAAUGUCUUUAGUAACGCCCAGGCUCCAAUAUGCUGCGGGGGGACUAGGUUCCCAUGGGAAGAUGUAUGAUUACACGGUGAAGAAUAAAUACAGUACAUUUAGUUUGAAAGCACACAAACUUCUUUCCCAGGACAGGGCAAAUCAAAUCAAAGUUUAUUGGUUGCGUAUACAGAUUUGCAGAUGUAUACAGAUUUGCAGAUGUUUUCGCAGGUGCCGCGAAAUGCUUGUGUUUCUAGCUCUAAAAGUGCCGUAAUACCCAUAUACAAAACAAUACACACAUAAUCCCCCCAAAAAUGAAGAAAUAUCAGAACGAGCCAUUUCAGAGUCCGGAAUAUAAAUAUAUAUUAUAAACUGGGUGGUUCAAUCCCUGAAUGCUGAUUGGCUGAAACAUUUAUUUUUACUACUCUAAUUACGUUGGUAAUUACGUUGCGUCGUGCAUAAGAACAGCCCUUAGCCGUGGUAUAUUGGCCAUAUACCACACCCCCUCUGGCCUUAUUGCUUAAUUAUAGGCUCGGCUAUAUAUAGUAUGGCAUUGGUUGAAGCUCAAUGUUAAUUUCAUUCUGCACCUACAGUACAUAGCUCACAUUCUAGACGUCGUAUUAAAACGAGACAAUAGCGUCCAUAAAGUGACCAUUGGACUUAAAAAAGUUUGUUGGUGCAAAAGUUUUAAUAAAAAAGUAUAAUUUAUCGCUCACAUGGGCUCAUUUCUGUCAAUUAAGAACAAACGAUGAGCUAACUUUUUGUAGCAUAUCUGAUGUUAACAUAUUUUCAGCCAAAUUUCAGAGUUCCAAAACCAGGAGCAGCAACUCGGUUGCUGCUCAACAGCAGCUAGCUAGUGGCAGGCUAUGAGCUAUAAUUAGCUAAUUAACAUCAGUCGGAUGAGAAGCAUGCUACAAGCAAAGGAAGCUUUUAGCAUCUCCAUACAUACAAGCCGCAUACAAACCACAGAUUCGCGCCUUUGGAACAUUUACAUUUUAAAAAGUCAAUAAAUCAAUUGAAUAUACACCAUCAUAAUAAAUCCAUUAUUUAUUUUAGGCAGCUCUAAAGAAACGUUGAUAUGAAGAAAAUGUAUUUCAGAAGAACAGAAUACGAGUUGGCCUACUGUAUGUUAUCUGGCUAUGUGCCAUGCCAUAGUCUGUAGACUUGUUCAACUUUAGUUGUGAAUGACAGAAACCUUAGAAUGUCUUAGAAAUCAAACCAUAUAUGGGCUGCAUGAUGUCAGUGGUGUAAAGUACUUAAGUAAAAAUACUUAAGUCGUUUUUUGAGGUAUCUUUUCUUUACUUUACUAUUUAUGUUUUUGACAACUUUUACUUUUACUUCACUACAUUCCUAAAGAAAAUAAUGUUAUUUUGACUCCUUAUAUUUUCCCUGACACCCAAAACUACUCGUUCCAUUUUGAAUGCUUAGCAGGACAGGAAAAUUGUCUAAUCCACGCACUUAUCAAGAGAACAUUCCUGGUCAUCCCUACUGCCUCUGAUCUGGCAGACUCACUAAACACAAAUGCUUUGUUUGUAAAUUAUGUCUGAAUGUUUAACUGUGCCACUGGCUAUCUGUGAAUUAAAAAAA